GGGUCAGUAGGUUGGUCGUGCCACCGGUACGUACUGGCCUCACUGAUUCCUCCUUCCUGAAGAACCGUAAUGCCAUUAAUUUGGUGUUGCGGGGAAACAGGACUGUUACUUUGAAAAAAUUAGAGUGUUUAAAGCAAGCUAACGCUUGAAUACAUUAGCAUGGAAUAAUGAAAUAGGACGAUCGAUCCUAUUUUGUUGGUUUCUAGGAUUGACGCA
RNAcentral lists this ribosomal RNA (216 nucleotides) under Glomeromycotina sp. RNAcentral describes it as "partial small subunit ribosomal RNA". The stretch from base 40 to 216 matches the Rfam family "Eukaryotic small subunit ribosomal RNA", at positions 686 to 864 of the family's 1831-position model. The record is from RNAcentral. Lineage: Eukaryota; Fungi; Glomeromycota.